UACGAGAGGUGCGAGCGUUAUUCGGAUUUAUUGGGUGUAAAGGGUGCGUAGACGGCGUGUUAAGUUUGUUGUUAAAUCCUCCGGCUCAACCGGAGAUAUGCGGCAAAUACUGGCAUGCUAGAGGAUGGAAGAGAGAAGUGGAAUUCUUGGAGUAGCGGUAAAAUGCGUAGAUCUCAAGAGGAACACCGAUGGCGAAGGCAGCUUCUUGGUCCAUUCCUGACGUUGAGGCACGAAAGCGUGGGGAGCAAACAGGAUUAGAUACCCUGGUAGUCCACGCUGUAAACGAUAAUCACUAGACGUUGGUUCUGUUUAACGGGACCAGUGUCGAAGCUAACGCGUUAAGUGAUUCACCUGGGAAGUACGGUCGCAAGAUUAAA
This 377-nucleotide ribosomal RNA is filed under the name uncultured bacterium. RNAcentral's name for it is "bacterial SSU rRNA". It matches the Rfam family "Bacterial small subunit ribosomal RNA", at positions 524 to 898 of the family's 1533-position model. The record is from RNAcentral.